CAGAUUCUUUUGAGGUGAACGGGGGAUCUUAAGCAUGUAUCCGUUUGAAAUAUCUCAAAUGUUUCUGGUGAAGAAGACAUCAUGGACCUGAACUUCACAUCAAAGACAAGCCCUCAAUACAGCUUGCUAGAAAAAGCUCUUCCUUCAGAUGACUACAAGAGGAUCAAUGCUGGGAUCGAUACAAGAUUCUUACUGUUGAUUCAAGGCUUAAGGCCUAAAUGGAGAGGGCAACAACUGCUGUGUAUUUUGAUCCCAAACAAGCUGUGUCCUUUGAAAUGCCAGCGCUUGGCGUUUGGAAGAAUGCUGGAGAACUUUGACGCAACAGAGGGCACCAGCAAAAGAGCAGGUAGAAGAAGGUGGGUGCCCUACAUGUUGCAGGACUGACCAUGCCGAAUGCUGAAGACCUUGCUGUCCCCAUAGGUAUGCUGAGCAUCUCCAUCAUUACCCUCCCUUCAGCUCGUGGGCUGAUAUUAAAUGGACCUAGUGGCAGAGAUGCUGGUGGCAGGAGCUGCUGAGCUCAGCAGUGCUUCAGCAGGACACGCAGAAUUCACAGAUUUUCCCCGACUGAACUCAAGAGACACUUGGACAAAAUGCCUGUGGGGGCUGGUGUGUCUCAAAUUUGAGUGGAAAAUGUUUGCACCAAGACCAGGAAAACUAAUCCUUUGCUCUUGGUUUCUGAAGAGCCAGAGGUUUGUUCAGCUUUUGAACG
Molecule: long non-coding RNA, 709 nt
Organism: Columba livia (rock pigeon)
Lineage: Eukaryota; Metazoa; Chordata; Aves; Columbiformes; Columbidae
Exons: 4
Source: RefSeq, a predicted model, not a curated record